RNAcentral lists this unclassified non-coding RNA (425 nucleotides) under uncultured fungus. RNAcentral describes it as "partial contains internal transcribed spacer 2 and large subunit ribosomal RNA". The record is from RNAcentral. Lineage: Eukaryota; Fungi.
AACGCAUAGUGCGCCCACUUUUUAGUGGGCAUGCCUGUUUGAGGGUGGUGUGCAUAUUGUGUCGAGGCAUGAGUAGUGCGUGACAUGGCAUGUCAUGCACAUGUGCAUGGCAUGUGCAUGUGCAUGUGCAUGCACAUCAUCGCACAUUACAUUACAUGUCUUGGCGUUGGUGAGGGUCGUGCAGACAGCGCGCUGUCCCGUCCCUCUAAAUGCAGUCAGUGUGGCGCUGAUGAUUAAAGGGCAGGUGCGCGUGGUAGGUGAAUGCUGUGCCGCAAUUGCUGGCGGGUGCUGGCAACUGUGGCAGAACAUGUAAUCGACUCUUUCGCACACUGGCCUGGCCAAUCAGCAGCAGGACGUCACUUCCCGCUCCCUCUCUCAUCAUCAUAUCCCACCUCAAAUCAGGCAAGACUACCCGCUGAACUUAA